RNAcentral lists this ribosomal RNA (459 nucleotides) under uncultured bacterium. Its description in RNAcentral is "partial 16S ribosomal RNA". It matches the Rfam family "Bacterial small subunit ribosomal RNA", at positions 338 to 795 of the family's 1533-position model. The record is from RNAcentral.
CCUACGGGUGACUGCAGUGGGGAAUUUUGGACAAUGGGCGCAAGCCUGAUCCAGCUAUUCCGCGUGUGGGAAGACGGCCCUACGGGUUGUAAACCUCUUUUGUCGGGGAGCAAAGAGAGUCACGCGUGACCUAAUGAGAGUACCCGAAGAAAAAGCAUCGGCUAACUCCGUGCCAGCAGCCGCGGUAAUACGGAGGAUGCGAGCGUUAUCCGGAUUUAUUGGGUUUAAAGGGUGCGCAGGCGGAGGUGCAAGUCAGCGGUCAAAUUUCGGGGCUCAACCCCGUACUGCCGUUGAAACUGCAUCCCUUGAGUGCGCGAGAAGUAUGCGGAAUGCGUGGUGUAGCGGUGAAAUGCAUAGAUAUCACGCAGAACUCCGAUUGCGAAGGCAGCAUACCGGCGCGCAACUGACGCUCAUGCACGAAAGCGUGGGUAUCGAACAGGAUUAGAUACCCUUGUAGUC